AGUGAACGCUGGCGGUAGGCCUAACACAUGCAAGUCGAACGGCAGCACAGUAAGAGCUUGCUCUUACGGGUGGCGAGUGGCGGACGGGUGAGGAAUACAUCGGAAUCUACUUUUUCGUGGGGGCUAACGUAGGGAAACUUCCGCUAAUCCCGCAUACGUCCUACGUGUGAAAGCAGGGGAUCUUCGGACCUUUCGCUAUUGUAUGAGCCUAUGUCGGAUUAGCUAGUUGGCGGGGUAAAGGCCCACCAAGGCGACGCUCCGUAUCGGGUCUGAGAGGAUGAUCAGCCACACGGGAACUGAGACAGGGUCCAGACGCCUACGGGAGGAAGCAGUGGGGAAUAUUGGACAAUGGGCGAAAGCCUGAUACAGCCAUACCGCGUGGGUGAAGAAGGACUUAGGGUUGGAAAGCCCUGUUGUUGGGAAAGAAAAGCAGCAGGUUAAUACCCCGCUGUUCUGACGGUACCCAAAGAAUAAGCACCGGCUAACUUCGUG
RNAcentral lists this ribosomal RNA (492 nucleotides) under uncultured bacterium. RNAcentral describes it as "partial 16S ribosomal RNA". It matches the Rfam family "Bacterial small subunit ribosomal RNA", at positions 29 to 507 of the family's 1533-position model. The record is from RNAcentral.